CAUCACCAUCAUCAUCAUCAGCACCAACACCAGUGUCAUCAUCUAAACUUCACCGCUAAGUCUUGUAUGCUGAUUACUCACUAACUUAUUGCAUGUGACAAUUUACUGGGACAAUCUAACGUUUAUGAUUCGAUCCAACAUCUGCCUAUUGUAUGUUUUUGGUGGAUUAUCUGUCUAUUAUUUAUUUUAUAAUUCGGAUAGUAAACGGAGAGACGAAAGCUGAAAGAAAAAAUAUGAGGAAGUUUAACCUGUAGCCUAAAAAGAAUCAAUCAAGCGAUUUAUUUAAUAAUAUCACCAUUUGUACGUUUGUUAUUCUACAAAAAUUUGUGUAAAUGUGUCCGAAGAUUUAAAUAACAAUAAUAAUAAACAAUCAAAUGAUUGAAGUUUAUCAUGGAAAUUUGCCAGCGUUUAACUUAUUGUGGCCUCCGUCGUCUUUACCAGUAAAUAAAUUCAAUAAAUAGCUUUUAUAUACUAAGGUCUAAGUUAAUUACUGAGAUUCGAUGACGCGUUAAUAUAUUUUUUGUACCCAAGCUUCCUGAUCUAUUGCGAUAAAAAAGUCAUUAAUAUUUCUCACAAUAUUUUCCAGUGUAAAUUAGUCAUCAUUUAUCGGCUUAAAUAGAAGUAUUAAUAAUAAAAAUAUGACUAAUAUUAACAAUAGAUGAUUUUUUGAAUAAAAAUUUAAAUUAACUGGCUGACUUGUCGGGUAUUUUCGAGAAUUGCAUCAAUGGUGAGUCAAUUUUAGUGACAAACGGGCUUUAGUUUAAUGUAAAUUGUAUAAAAAUCUGCACUUGCAAGCUGAGAUUACGUAAUUUUAUUUAUUAUCUUUGUACCUUUUAUAAAUAAUAUGUUACGUGUCUCGCAUUGGUAACGACAAUUAUUUAAAAAAUAAUAUUUAAUAUUGUUACCAUGAAUUUUUAACUUCUCCUGUCUAUUGUCAACUUUAACAAUCGUCUUUAUCUUUUAUAUUUUACUCAGAAGAUAUUAUUUAUGGAAUUUUCUCCACCGUACCCACAACACAUAUGUACAACACUUGAAUAGAUAUUUUUAAAAGAUAACCAGUGUCAAAUCAUACAUUUAAAUAUAUCUAAACUCGCUCUGUACAUAACACAACACUUAUCAUACUUAUUUAUAUAUAUACAUAUACUUGGAUGUCAUUCAUUAGUACUCUGUCCUUAGUAAUAAAAUUAACAAGCAUGAGGAUGACUCAUUUUACCUCAACUUCCGUAUUAUUUCAUAACAAAAAAAUCCAUAAAAAAGAAAAUUUAAAUAAAGUGGCGGGAAAAAAAAUAAUUGCGACAUUGGCAUGAAAAUUAUUUGAACAAAAUUUUUUUAUUAAUUCUCGGGAUCUUCAAUACUGAGUAUAAGCGGGAAUAUCAAGAGUACACUGACUUCAUUUAUUUCCUAAUUAGCCAAUGAAAAAAUGUACUGCGUAGAAUGAAGGAACAGCAUUGAGUACACAUGAUACUAUACCCGAGUUGUAUUGAGUGAUAUGACGUCUAAAAUACCGCUUUGACAUUCUUACACGUUGGCCAUAAUUCUUUACCCAACAUUUGUACCAAGACCCCGACCGACAGCGGGUAGAUCCAAGAUGUUGAUGCAAGUCGAGGGAAAUGUGAUAAAAAAAAAAGAAAACUUUUAUGGUAGAAAAUGAAUGGAAAAAAUUACUUGGCCUAGUUUUUUUUUUUUAAUUUUAUUGAUGCACUACUGAAAUACUUGAGAGAAAUGAAGCAAAUGUGGUUUUUAAUUAGUUAAUGAAUUACGCUCACGCGUAGUUUGUCAUCAGCGACUCGAGAUCUUAAAUUAUUUUUUAAUUUAUUUAUUAGCGAUCUAGUGUAUGAUCACUGCGACCUGAUAUAUAAUUUUAUUCAAUAGCAACUUGUUCUUUUUUUAUUUAUUCUGAUUCAAUUACUAGUGUCUAAUUAUAAUUAAUGUUUUUUUAUACUUGACUAUAUCUGAUUUUAUAAAAAUUAAAUAACUUGUAAGAAAUUUUAUGUAUUAUCAUAUAUGUUCAUUCCUGACCAUAUCUGAUCUUACACGAGUUGAACAUCAUGGAAAAUUUUUUUAUGUUCCUUCAUAUAUGAUCAUACAUGACCAUAUAUAAUCUUAUAUGGCUUGUAUAUCGGUUAAAAACUUUUUAUUUAUCUUCAAAUAUGUUCAUAUGUGUCCGUAUAUGAUCUUAUAUGGACUGAAUAUCGAGUAAAAAUACUUUAUGUUGUAUCAUAUAUGAUCAUACAUGAUCAUAUAUGAUCUUAU
Molecule: long non-coding RNA, 2253 nt
Organism: Microplitis mediator
Lineage: Eukaryota; Metazoa; Arthropoda; Insecta; Hymenoptera; Braconidae
Exons: 3
Source: RefSeq, a predicted model, not a curated record